AACGAACGCUGGCGGCAGGCCUAACACAUGCAAGUCGAGCGCCCCUUUCGGGGGGAGCGGCGGACGGGUGAGUAACGCGUGGGAACGUGCCCCUUGGUUCGGAAUAGCCCUGGGAAACUGGUGGUAAUACCGGAUACGCCCCGGACUUGAUCCGGGGGCAAGAUUUAGUGCCGAAGGAUCGGCCCGCGUUGGAUUAGGUAGUUGGUGGGGUAAUGGCCUACCAAGCCUUCGAUCCAUAGCUGGUUUGAGAGGAUGAUCAGCCACACUGGGACUGAGGCACGGCCCAGACUCCUACGGGAGGCAGCAGUGGGGAAUCUUAGACAAUGGGCGCAAGCCUGAUCUAGCCAUGCCGCGUGAGCGAAGAAGGCCUUAGGGUUGUAAAGCUCUUUCAGGGGGGAAGAUAAUGACGGUACCCCCAGAAGAAGCCCCGGCUAACUCCGUGCCAGCCGCCGCGGUAA
Molecule: ribosomal RNA, 458 nt
Filed under: uncultured bacterium
Lineage: Bacteria
Description: partial 16S ribosomal RNA
Rfam family: Bacterial small subunit ribosomal RNA
Source: RNAcentral